Molecule: ribosomal RNA, 487 nt
Filed under: uncultured delta proteobacterium
Lineage: Bacteria; Deltaproteobacteria
Description: bacterial SSU rRNA
Rfam family: Bacterial small subunit ribosomal RNA
Source: RNAcentral
AGAGUUCGAUCAUGGCUCAGAUUGAACGCUGGUGGCAUGCUUAACACAUGCAAGUCGGACGGCAGCAUGGCUGGUAGUAAUACUAGCUGAUGGCGAGUGGCGGACGGGUGAGUAAUACAUAGGAAUCUGCCUUAUGGAGGGGGAUAGCUCAGGGAAACUUGGGGUAAUACCGCGUAAGACCGGGAGGUGAAAGGGGGCUGUAAAAGGCUUUCGCCAUAAGAUGAGCCUAUGUUGGAUUAGCUAGUAGGUGAGGUAAGAGCUCGACCUAGGCAACGAUCCAUAGCUGUUCUGAGAGGAAGGACAGCCACACUGGGACUGAGACACGGCCCAGACUCCUACGGGAGGCAGCAGUGGGGAAUAUUGGACAAUGGGGGCAACCCUGAUCCAGCGAUGCCACGUGUGCGAAGAAGGCCUUCGGGUUGUAAAGCACUUUAGUGAGGGAGGAAAGGAUAGAGGUUAAUACCCUAUAUUAUGACAGUACCUCAAG